This 293-nucleotide ribosomal RNA is filed under the name uncultured bacterium. RNAcentral describes it as "partial 16S ribosomal RNA". It matches the Rfam family "Bacterial small subunit ribosomal RNA", at positions 775 to 1067 of the family's 1533-position model. The record is from RNAcentral.
GGAUUAGAUACCCUGGUAGUCCACGCCGUAAACGAUGUCUACUAGCCGUUGGGGUCCAUGAGGCCUUAGUGGCGCAGCUAACGCAGUAAGUAGACCGCCUGGGGAGUACGGCCGCAAGGUUAAAACUCAAAUGAAUUGACGGGGGCCCGCACAAGCGGUGGAGCAUGUGGUUUAAUUCGAAGCAACGCGAAGAACCUUACCAAGACUUGACAUCCUGAUAACUUAGCAGAAAUGCUUUGGUGCCUUCGGGAAAUCAGUGACAGGUGCUGCAUGGCUGUCGUCAGCUCGUGCUG